Molecule: ribosomal RNA, 460 nt
Filed under: uncultured bacterium
Lineage: Bacteria
Description: partial 16S ribosomal RNA
Rfam family: Bacterial small subunit ribosomal RNA
Source: RNAcentral
CCUACGUGUGGCAGCAGUGAGGAAUAUUGGUCAAUGGGCGCGAGCCUGAACCAGCCAAGUCGCGUGAGGGAAGACGGCCCUACGGGUUGUAAACCUCUUUUGCCGGGGAGCAACGGGCGCCACGUGUGGCGCCACUGAGAGUACCCGGAGAAAAAGCAACGGCUAACUCCGUGCCAGCAGCCGCGGUAAUACGGGGGAUGCGAGCGUUAUCCGGUUUUAUUGGGUUAACAGGGUGCGUAGGCGGAGCGUUAAGUCAGUGGUAAAAUUGAGGGGCUCAACCCCUUGCCGCCAUUGAAACUGGCGCCCUUGAGUGGAGGAGAGGUAUGCGGAAUGCGUGGUGUAGCGGUGAAAUGCAUAGAUAUCACGCAGAACCCCGAUUGCGAAGGCAGCAUGCCGGCUUCCGACUGACGCUGAAGCACGAAAGCGUGGGGAUUGAACAGGAUUAGAUACCCCAGUAGUC